Molecule: long non-coding RNA, 6257 nt
Filed under: Coffea arabica (coffee)
Lineage: Eukaryota; Viridiplantae; Streptophyta; Magnoliopsida; Gentianales; Rubiaceae
Description: long non-coding RNA (CARA_LNC005267)
Rfam family: Small nucleolar RNA snoR26 (bases 2008-2095)
Source: RNAcentral
GUCUCGAGAUCAUGGCGCUCCGCCAUAACCUCCUCUGCACUCUUCACCACCCGGUCCCUCCUCCAUACCACCCAAACCUCUCUCUACCUCAUCCUCCGCAUCAACUACUCCUUCCACUGGUACCCUCUCCUCUAUAAUUGCCAUAGCAGAAAAAUCCCACAAAAACCCAUUUUUUCCCUUCCCCGCAUCCCGUUUCAGCCCGUAGGACCUGCGUUCGCCGCCUUAGGCCCGAAAAUAUACGUAAUUGGGGGGUCUAUUAACAAAACUCCGUCAAAUUCGAUGUGGGUUUAUGAUUGUAGGUUUAAUAGGUGGGCGGAAGGCCCAAGAAUGAUGGUGGGACGGGAGUUCGCUGCGGCCGGGGUUGUUAAUGGGAAGAUUUAUGUUCUAGGUGGUUGUCUUGUGGAUAGCUGGGCGGAGGUUUUUGACCCGGAUACUGGGUUGUGGGCCCCGGUGCCAAGCCCUAUUGAGGUGAGGGAGAACGGGAUGCACGCGAGCGCGGUGGUGGAGGGGAGAGGUGGGGUGGUGUAUGAUAUUGGGCUGGGGAACUGGGGAAAAGUGUCAAAAAGGGCUGCGGUGGUUCGGGGAGUGUUGUAUUGUUGUGAUUAUUUAGGGAAGAUCAGAGGGUACGAUGUGGAGAAAGGUGUUUGGAAGAAGUUGAAGGGUGUACGGUUGCCUAUUUUUUCAUGUGGUGCGACGAUGGUGAAUUUCGAUGGGAGGUUGUGUGUUGUUUGGGAGAAAAAGGGGAGUGGGAAGGAGGUGGAGAUAAAGUGUGCGGAUAUUGAAGUUUGGAAGGAAGAGGAUGGAAAGUUGGAUGGAAGGAUUUUGUGGUCUGGUGUGAUUCUCAAAGUUCCUGAUGGAGCUGCGAUUGUACAUUGUAUGGCAGCUGAGUUCUGAUGGUGAUGUUUGGUGCAGGGUAUGGCAAUUGUUCUUUGGUGCAUACGUUGCUUAUAAUAUUCAGGUUCUUUUAUCUUUGAAGCAUGUUAGCCAUUUAGUUAUCUGAUUCAUUUGGCCUUGUUUGGAUUGCCGGUUUCGUCGAAAAAUUACGCAGUUUUUCGUGAUCACAUUUCCGUAUUACCUUUUUUUCUCACAUACAUCAAAUCGCUACAGUAAUUUUUCCACGAAAAAUCAAGAAAAAUGCAAUCCAAACACUUUUUUAUGCGUUUAGCCUUGUACGGUUAUACCAUGCCUGUAAACUUCCCUCUCUCUCGUUCUAAUUGAAUAGUCAUUAAAUAUAGUUAUAUAAAACUGGUUCGUUGCAGAGAGUGUGAACUUUUACUUCAUUCUUUGCGAGGAAAGGGGAAAAUAGAGCGCAAAUUGGGGCAAUGGCCAUUGACGAGGGAACAUCCCUGAACCUCUGAAGCACACAUAAAAAGGAACAAGCUCGAUUGGUUCAUUCUAUACUUUUUAAUUGACUUCCCCCCCUUAUUUGAUAUUAAUUGGUCAUCUUGCCUAAAAUAUGCUUUCAUAUAAUUAUGGAGCAAAAAAUCUACGGAAUAAAGCCAGCAGCUGAACAUGUCCUAUACUGUAACAAGGGUUACCCAACAGACUGACUGCCUCCACUUUCAUAAGAGUUUAAAAACAUUUGAUUUUCAUAUGCCAAGCAACGUCAUUCAUCCAAUCCCAGAAGACCCCAGCUAGUGUUUUAUGUCUUUUGUUCUUUUGCCUAACUGUGAAGUCCCGCUGGCAUAAAUUGUUCUUUUAGGUUCCUCCUCCUUGUUUAGACAUUUUAAUCAUUCAUUACUGCUUCUUGAGCUUCUUGCUGGAAAAUUUUCUUCUUUUUUAUUAUCCUAUUUGCCUUUGAAUUUUUCCUGGAUGGACCGAUGAUGUAAUAAGAAAUAAACUGCGUUAUCUAUCUGCAAUUUCCCAAAUGGAAUUGAAGAUUAAUUUGUCUUCCUGAGGUUCUGUAUGAUAAUUAUCAGUCUAAUGGUUUCAUAAUGUCAUUUUUUCAAUUUCUUUUUCGAUAUUGAAGUCUGUACUGGUGGUUUAAUUUGUUUUAUGAUCUGAGGAUGAGCAUCAGUGAUGACAUAUGACAAUUGUUAUCCUUGCACUUUGAUUACCAGUGAAGAAAACUAUGGGGAUUGACUCUGAGAUGCUGUUCUCCUCAUUUCCCACCUCUCUGUUGAGUUAUGUACUUUAUUUUUGAUGCUGUAAUCUGGAGAUUCUGAGAUUCAGUCGAAUGGUAUACUCACAGUUGUUUUACCCAUGUAUUCAAAAUGGAUUAGAGCCAAAUUCAACACGAGCAUUUUGGAUUUGUUUGUUUUUUAAGAUAUUUUCUCAAUUGACAAAAUGGCCUUAUAAUGUGAUACUCUGCUACUUUGAUGUCCCCAUGAUGAUUGCGCUGCCAUUGCUUGAUUUUUUUUUAGAUUUAGACAGAUUCAAUAUUUUUUGAACAUUGCUGUAGUUUAGUCUUGAUUGUCCAUUCUGGAUCAGUGAUGUUAAUGUUUUUACUGCGUUAUCUAUCUGAAAUCCAGUUGAGGAUAGACUUACUUCCUGAGAUCCAGUCCAUUUUUUAUUGAGCAUCAUUAAUUACCACUCAUGGAUUAUAUUGCAAAUGUGAGAUACUACCCUCCUUGCCUUUUGUUUGUCCCGGGUUUUCUUAACAAUCCGGUCCCAGAAGUGAGCAUUUGAAUUUAUCAUGAAAGUUCAAUUUAUACGAUCGCUUUUGCUUGCUAUAUGAUGACUUUAUAGUAUGGAAUUGCGUGUGUAGUCAGCUACCUUACACUUUUUCUUUCCCUCUGUUUCAACUCUUAGAAUUUUGGUCCACUUUUAUUUUUGAGUCAUUCUGUCAUGUUGUUACUUGUCCCUGGUGUGCAAAAUUUGUUCUUGAAGGUGAUAAUAUCGUAUAUGUUUUUGCAGCUACUUUUUUUAAUUUGCAGACAUCUAUUGAGGGAUAAGUGUUAGAUGAGAACGUAUACUCCAUUUGAGUUCAUUUCUUGGAGCUUUGGUUCAUUUUCUAGUCAUUUUCUCCUGUCGCCAUCUUUCAUUGGCAUUCACAAUUCCCUUUAAGGGAAUGAGAAAUUCCUGUUUACUUGUGAGGUCAUUCAUUUCAAAAGGCUGACAAUCAUUCAAGUGCCAGGCUUCCUUUAUGGAACUUUGUUUCCAAAGCUGGUCGCCUCACAUCUGUUCUUCUUCCCCUUCAUGUAAUUUCAAAUUUCUUGCUUCUAUAGCUAAAAUGAAUUUUCAUCCAUUCACUUCCAUUGCUUAUGGUCUGAAAAGGAGGGCUGCCUGAGCACGUGGGGCUUUACUGUUGAUCUUCUUGUAUGAGAGAUGCAUUAUGAUUUUUAGCUUCCUAUUUCAUUAAUCCCGAGUACUUUCAUUGAUGACAAAAAACCAUGUGGUGUUUUUAACAGGAUUCUCACUGCAAUCAAUUUUUCAAACUAUUCCGGUUGAGAAGUAGGUGAUAAAUUGCUCCUUAGCAAAAUGAUGCUACUGCAGUUUCGUCUAGCUCAGAUUGUGUGACUAAGCUACAUUGGGUUAGCUAUCCAGCUGCUUCAGAUUCUCCAAAAUGCCGAGGUGUAUUGCGUAGUCCAAGUCGCCACCACCUGUGGUCCAUUGGUUGAUAAUUUGCUGGCCAAGUUUGCUAUAUUCAAUCUGGAAAUUAUCUUCUGUAUUUCUAUUCAGCCACAUUCUCGACAAUAUCUACUUUCUCCAAUAUGUGUGUAUAGUAGUAGGGUUUAUCUGCAGCUGGCAAUGUAAGUUCGACCGGUCCUGCUGCUUCUUGUUGUAUGUACCUUUCUUUUCCCUUUUGAUUCGAAAGUAAUUUACUGUGCUCAGACAGACCAGUGGAUGUCAGAUAAGCUCAUGUGUUUUAUUCGUGCAUUGUGCUAUAAAUUCUACUCCCUCAGUUAUUGGUUUCAGAAUUGUUAAAUCCUUUCAUCUGGAUGGAAAUCUCGUGCUCUCAUGCAACUGUAUAUCACUUAGGAUCAAAUUCAUAUGUUUAUAGUCAUUCCACUUCAAAUACAACUGCAUGUUCAGUGAUUUUGAGCAUUGUUGUUCAUUUCAUUCGUAAAUCCUGAAUAUGAAGUGUCUAUAUAUAUAUAUAUAUAUAUAUAUAUAUAUAUAUGUAUGUAUGUAUGUAUAGGAGUGACUUCCCACGAAAGGUCGUUUUUACAGUUAUUCUACAAGUAUAGGGAUCCUUCAGCAAUGGAGAAAAAUGUCGUGCUCGCCUUCCUAGGGACGAGGACAUAGAAGAGCAUGAGCCCCCACUGGACAUUCGCAGGUGGAUCUUGUAUGAUCUUCAGACGGAUCCUUAGUGACGGUCAAAAUGUUUAAAUUUUCUGUUUUGACACCUUUUUUUCUUGUUUUGACGGUUAAUGCCCCUCGAAAUAGUGUCUAAAACUUCUAUAAAAACGUCAGACCAACCACUGGUGUUAAUCACUUGGCUAAGAAAAUACAUGAUUCAUUAGACAAAAGUUGCAACUUUCAAAUACUUCUAGAUCAUAUAGGGGGUGAUUUGCUAUAGAAAAUUACUAGAAUUCCCUUAAAAAACAGUCCAUAGUUCAAGUAGGGUUUGUCUUACUUAGUGCAAAGAGUAAAAGAUAGACAAAUUUCAAAUUAUGGUGAAGGCUAAUUUGUCCAAGCUCUAUUACUAGACAACUAAAAUCUAAAGAAAAGUGAUUUUGAAUCAAGAUUUGAAACCUUUAUUUUGUGUUUUUAUCUUUGUAUCAUUCAGCCAUUUUCUUUGUAAUAUUCCCAACAUUUUGCACCUUUGAUCGUGAUACAUUUCCCACGCUUUGAUACACCCAAUAUAGACCACAUCAUAGGUGUAUAUUCUGAAUAGGGGUGUAAGAGUCGAGUAUAUUCUGAAUAUACAACAUCAUGGGUAUAUUCUGAGUUUCGAACUAAUCAAACCGAGUCUCGUUCGAACUCGAUUUUGAACUCGUCGAGUUCAAAAUGUCUAGUUUGAGUUUAAAAUUUUUUUAAAAAAUUAAUUAUUUUAUUUUAAAAUGAAUAAAAUAAUAAUUUUUCUUAACGAAUAAUAAAAUAUUAGAGAUAUAUAUAUGUAAUUUUACUAUUAAAAUAAAAAAUUAAAUACAUAAUCAAAUUUGAACCGGCUCACGAGAUAAUGAGAUUAGUAUUUUUGAACUCGAAUUUGACUUGAUUAACUUGAAUUUGACUCGAGCUCGAUGUUGACCGAACUCAAGCGAUUCGAUUCGUUUGCAGGUUGCGGUCCUAAUUCUGAGUACAAAAGUUCCUUUCCCACACAAAAUACAUAUGAUUGAUGUCUUUUACAACAUUGCCUGAUAUGGUACUAAAACCAAUCUUGACAGUUUCUGCAGUAAAUAUGUUCUCAUCUCAAGAUCUACGUCACUAUUUAUACAGUUAUCCAUAUGCACAUUUAUACCAAGGCAUUUCCCAAGUUUCAGGCUUUCAGCUACAGGGUUUCAACCUAGGUCCAUUGGGGCCUUGUUCAGUUACAGGGUUUUUUAGUGAGUCCCUUUUAUAUUAGUCUUUGACUCAAUUUUACGAUGACUCCUGAGUGUUUCUAAUUUAACUGGGUGUGUGUUGAUUUCGGUUCGGAAGAAAAAUUUCCCAAGUUUCAGUCCACAGCUACAGUUAUGCUAUGGAUAUGAAGUAUCAUAAAUUGUUAGAUGACCCUUUUAGAAGGUGAAUGAGAUAUUACUGCACAAUUUUCAUUUAUUUAGUGCAAGAAAAUGAAGCAUUUCAAUUACAAAAAAAAAAAAGAAAUAAUUUUGGUUAAAUUUUGAUACAUUAAAAGUUAGUAUAAUAACAAUAAUUGGGUCUGUUUGAUUAUCAAGAUUUGCAUAUAUAUAUAUAUAUAUAUAUAUUAUAAAUAUAAUUUUGAAUCACUUUUUUACCUAAUAUAAAUUACAUUACAAGUAAUGCUACAGUAUUAUUUUAGAUACUUUUUAGCUUAUGGGAGGUCUCUACAGUUAAAUCCCUAUGCAUAUUUAGCUGCAACCACCUUGACCGAGCAACCAACCAACAUAGGCAUUUCCAAAGUUUUCACAGUACACUGGUUAGAUAUGACCACCACCACCUCCUCCAGUGGCAGCCAGCCGCCACAACCAUCGGCUGAACCCCAGCUGAUCCCGAAGCUCCCAGAUGACGUGUCCAUCGACUGCCUAGCAAGAGUCCCCAGCUCCCAUUACCGUGAUCUCUCUCUUGUCUCGAAAACAUGGCACUCCGCCAUAACCUCCUCUACACUCUUGACCGCCCGGUCCCGCCUCCGUACCACCCAAACCUUUCUUUACCUUAACCUCCGCAUCGACAACUCCGUCGACUGGUACACUCUC